This 492-nucleotide ribosomal RNA is filed under the name uncultured bacterium. Its description in RNAcentral is "partial 16S ribosomal RNA". It matches the Rfam family "Bacterial small subunit ribosomal RNA", at positions 29 to 507 of the family's 1533-position model. The record is from RNAcentral.
AGUGAACGCUGGCGGUAGGCCUAACACAUGCAAGUCGAACGGCAGCACAGUAAGAGCUUGCUCUUACGGGUGGCGAGUGGCGGACGGGUGAGGAAUACAUCGGAAUCUACUUUUUCGUGGGGGAUAACGUAGGGAAACUUACGCUAAUACCGCAUACGACCUGCGGGUGAAAGCAGGGGAUCUUCGGACCUUGCGCGAUUGAAUGAGCCGAUGUCGGAUUAGCUAGUUGGCGGGGUAAAGGCCCACCAAGGCGACGAUCCGUAGCUGGUCUGAGAGGAUGAUCAGCCACACUGGAACUGAGACACGGUCCAGACUCCUACGGGAGGCAGCAGUGGGGAAUAUUGGACAAUGGGCGCAAGCCUGAUCCAGCCAUACCGCGUGGGUGAAGAAGGCCUUCGGGUUGUAAGGCCCUUUUGUUGGGAAAGAAAAGCAGCAGGUUAAUACCCCGCUGUUCUGACGGUACCCAAAGAAUAAGCACCGGCUAACUUCGUG